Molecule: ribosomal RNA, 376 nt
Filed under: Shigella flexneri
Lineage: Bacteria; Pseudomonadati; Pseudomonadota; Gammaproteobacteria; Enterobacterales; Enterobacteriaceae
Description: bacterial SSU rRNA
Rfam family: Bacterial small subunit ribosomal RNA
Source: RNAcentral
AAGCAGCUUGCUGUUUCGCUGACGAGUGGCGGACGGGUGAGUAAUGUCUGGGAAACUGCCUGAUGGAGGGGGAUAACUACUGGAAACGGUAGCUAAUACCGCAUAACGUCGCAAGACCAAAGAGGGGGACCUUCGGGCCUCUUGCCAUCGGAUGUGCCCAGAUGGGAUUAGCUAGUAGGUGGGGUAACGGCUCACCUAGGCGACGAUCCCUAGCUGGUCUGAGAGGAUGACCAGCCACACUGGAACUGAGACACGGUCCAGACUCCUACGGGAGGCAGCAGUGGGGAAUAUUGCACAAUGGGCGCAAGCCUGAUGCAGCCAUGCCGCGUGUAUGAAGAAGGCCUUCGGGUUGUAAAGUACUUUCAGCGGGGAGGAA